AUCUAGUUUGUAUCUCUAUUAAGUUAAUCUUUGGUGUGUGUCUAUUUGGUGUGUUCAUCUUUAUGGUGUGUAUCUAUAUGGUGUGUAUCUAUGGUGUGUGUGUAUUGUGGCGUCCCGCCCCCUAAACCUCGGUCCGGACGGACCCGAGGUUUCAUCCAGGACGGAAUAUACUACCGUCAUCCACCAGCCGGCGACGGAGAGCGCCCGUUGAACCCCAAUCAGCGAGAUGGGAGACACCUGGCUGGACAGCCAGGAAGACAUUUUAAAAGGAGCACGAGGACUGACAUUUGGGAGGAACGGGAGCGAGGAAGAAGGAAGUGCUCGGGUCUGUGAGCGACUAGAGGCCCACGGAGGCCCUAGAGACCCUGAAAGGCGAGGCUGAGAGGCUGGGGUCCGGAGGCUUGUGGUGCCAGGGUGGACCGGAGACUGAGGCUGGAGACCAGGGGCCUGCAGCACCGGACCAGAGGACCAGGAAUCCAUGGCUGAAGGAGCUGAUGGAGGAGCCGUGCUGAAGGAGCUGAUGGAGGAGCUGAUGGAGGAGCCGUGCGGAAGGAGCUGAUGGAGGAGCCGUGCGGAAGGCCCUGCCUGGUGGAGGACGUCUGUCGUGGGGUAGAUGGAGCUUGACUCUGAAGUGAUCAUCACACUCACGGCCACUUCUCGUAGAAUACUGCUACCACAAACUACCGGCGGUUGUACCAUAUAUACCAGAGGACUACAUCUGUUUUACCACAUGUUGAAGCAAGACUUCCGCUGUU
Molecule: long non-coding RNA, 755 nt
Organism: Gadus macrocephalus (Pacific cod)
Lineage: Eukaryota; Metazoa; Chordata; Actinopteri; Gadiformes; Gadidae
Exons: 3
Source: RefSeq, a predicted model, not a curated record